UACGAGGGGUCCAAGCGUUGUUCGGAAUCACUGGGCGUAAAGCGGGUGUAGGUGGCUAGGCAAGUUGGAUGUGAAAGCCCCGGGCUCAACCCGGGAAGUGCAUCCAAAACUACUUAGCUUGAGUAAGGAAGAGGAUAGGAGAAUUCUUGGUGUAGUGGUGAAAUACGUAGAUAUCAAGAGGAACACCGGUGGCGAAGGCGCCUAUCUGGUCCAUUACUGACACUCAGACCCGAAAGCGUGGGUAGCAAAC
This 250-nucleotide ribosomal RNA is filed under the name uncultured bacterium. RNAcentral's name for it is "partial 16S ribosomal RNA". It matches the Rfam family "Bacterial small subunit ribosomal RNA", at positions 524 to 773 of the family's 1533-position model. The record is from RNAcentral.